CGAUUACGGCUCAGUAACACGUCGAUAAUCUGCCCUAAGGUCAGGAUACCCACGGGAAACUGUGGUUAACACCUGAUAAGGAACACAUACUGAAAUGUAGUGUUCUCCAAAUUCGAGCCUUAGGAUGAGUUGGCGUCCGAUUAGGCUGAUGGUGGUGUAAUGGACCACCAUACCUAUGAUCGGUACGGGCCAUGAGAGUGGUAGCCCGGAGAGGGACACUGAGAUACUGGUCCCAGCCCUACGGGGUGCAGCAGGCGCGAAACCUUUACAAUGCACGCAAGUGUGAUAAGGGAAUUCCAAGUGCUCAAGCAUUGCUUGGGCUUUUGCCAUGUGUAAAUAGCAUGGCGAAUAAGUGGUGGGAAAGACUGGUGCCAGCCGCCGCGGUAACACCAGCGCCACGAGUGGCAGUCACGUUUAUUGGGCCUAAAGCGUCCGUAGCAGGUUCUAUAAAUCUCUUGUGAAAUUGCCAGGCUUAACUUGGCAGUGUGCAGGAGACACUGUAGAACUCGAGACCGGGAAGGGUUAGAGGUAUUCCUGAGGGAGCGGUAAAAUGCUAUAAUCUCAGGAGGA
RNAcentral lists this ribosomal RNA (570 nucleotides) under uncultured euryarchaeote. Its description in RNAcentral is "bacterial SSU rRNA". It matches the Rfam family "Archaeal small subunit ribosomal RNA", at positions 80 to 656 of the family's 1478-position model. Lineage: Archaea; Methanobacteriati; Methanobacteriota. The record is from RNAcentral.